UUGAAGGAGACUAACCUAGGGAGAACUUAAGAACAAGUAGAAUGGCCAAAAUUAGGCAACAUUUCAUUACUAAUUCCAAGUUAAAGAAAUACAUGUAUAAGAGACUCCUAUUUAUAGGAUAAAGUCUCUCAAAAACUCUCAAAUGAGAGUGUGACAAGUGUCACCACCUUAUUGGUGCAAAUCCUCUCCAUUAAGAAGAAGACAUGUGGAGACUCAUGUCUUCCUUGCCUACAUUUCUAUUUGCACCCCUCUUUUACUAUUUUACACAUUACUUUGUUUUCUAUUUACAUCUUUCUCUACUUUGGCCCAAAAUACAAGGCCCAAAACUUCCUAACUACUCUAUACAAUUUUUACAAGGCUAAGAAGAAGAAAAAGACUUUACAAACUCUUCAUUAAAGCUCGAUCUUCGUCUAUCUUCUUGGCCGAAAGUUUUGAGGCUGGACGGUUUCCAUCA
Molecule: long non-coding RNA, 454 nt
Filed under: Phaseolus vulgaris (common bean)
Lineage: Eukaryota; Viridiplantae; Streptophyta; Magnoliopsida; Fabales; Fabaceae
Description: long non-coding RNA (PVUL_LNC003429)
Source: RNAcentral